UACGAAGGGGGCUAGCGUUGUUCGGAAUUACUGGGCGUAAAGGGCGCGUAGGCGGUGUGUCAAGUCAGGCGUGAAAGCCCCGGGCUCAACCUGGGAACCGCGCUUGAGACUGGCAGGCUAGAGUUCGGGAGAGGAUGGUGGAAUUCCCAGUGUAGAGGUGAAAUUCGUAGAUAUUGGGAAGAACACCGAUGGCGAAGGCAGCCAUCUGGACCGACACUGACGCUGAGGCGCGAAAGCGUGGGGAGCAAACAGG
RNAcentral lists this ribosomal RNA (253 nucleotides) under uncultured bacterium. RNAcentral's name for it is "partial 16S ribosomal RNA". It matches the Rfam family "Bacterial small subunit ribosomal RNA", at positions 524 to 776 of the family's 1533-position model. The record is from RNAcentral.